This 1371-nucleotide ribosomal RNA is filed under the name uncultured bacterium. Its description in RNAcentral is "bacterial SSU rRNA". It matches the Rfam family "Bacterial small subunit ribosomal RNA". The record is from RNAcentral.
AGAGUUUGAUCCUGGCUCAGGACGAACGCUGGCGGCGCGCCUAACACAUGCAAGUCGAACGAGCGAGAGAGAGCUUGCUUUCUCGAGCGAGUGGCGAACGGGUGAGUAACGCGUGAGGAACCUGCCUCAAAGAGGGGGACAACAGUUGGAAACGACUGCUAAUACCGCAUAAGCCCACGGGUCGACAUCGACCAGAGGGGAAAGGAGCAAUCCGCUUUGAGAUGGCCUCGCGUCCGAUUAGCUAGUUGGUGAGGUAAUGGCCCACCAAGGCAACGAUCGGUAGCCGGACUGAGAGGUUGAACGGCCACAUUGGGACUGAGACACGGCCCAGACUCCUACGGGAGGCAGCAGUGGGGAAUAUUGCACAAUGGGGGAAACCCUGAUGCAGCGACGCCGCGUGGAGGAAGAAGGUCUUCGGAUUGUAAACUCCUGUUGUUGGGGAAGAUAAUGACGGUACCCAACAAGGAAGUGACGGCUAACUACGUGCCAGCAGCCGCGGUAAAACGUAGGUCACAAGCGUUGUCCGGAAUUACUGGGUGUAAAGGGAGCGCAGGCGGGAAGACAAGUUGGAAGUGAAAUCUAUGGGCUCAACCCAUAAACUGCUUUCAAAACUGUUUUUCUUGAGUAGUGCAGAGGUAGGCGGAAUUCCCGGUGUAGCGGUGGAAUGCGUAGAUAUCGGGAGGAACACCAGUGGCGAAGGCGGCCUACUGGGCACCAACUGACGCUGAGGCUCGAAAGUGUGGGUAGCAAACAGGAUUAGAUACCCUGGUAGUCCACACCGUAAACGAUGAUUACUAGGUGUUGGAGGAUUGACCCCUUCAGUGCCGCAGUUAACACAAUAAAGUAAUCCACCUGGGGAGUACGCCCGCAAGGUUGAAACUCAAAGGAAUUGACGGGGGCCCGCACAAGCAGUGGAGUAUGUGGUUUAAUUCGACGCAACGCGAAGAACCUUACCAAGUCUUGACAUCCCUUGACAGACAUAGAAAUAUGUAAUCUCUUCGGAGCAAGGAGACAGGUGGUGCAUGGUUGUCGUCAGCUCGUGUCGUGAGAUGUUGGGUUAAGUCCCGCAACGAGCGCAACCCUUAUGGUCAGUUACUACGCAAGAGGACUCUGGCCAGACUGCCGUUGACAAAACGGAGGAAGGUGGGGAUGACGUCAAAUCAUCAUGCCCUUUAUGACUUGGGCUACACACGUACUACAAUGGCGUUAAACAAAGAGAAGCAAGACCGCGAGGUGGAGCAAAACUCAGAAACAACGUCCCAGUUCGGACUGCAGGCUGCAACUCGCCUGCACGAAGUCGGAAUUGCUAGUAAUCGUGGAUCAGCAUGCCACGGUGAAUACGAUCCCGGGCCUUGUACACACCGCCCGUCA